UACGAAGGGGGCGAGCGUUGUUCGGAAUUACUGGGCGUAAAGGGCGCGUAGGCGGCCGAUCAAGUCAGAUGUGAAAGUCCUGGGCUUAACCUGGGGACUGCAUUUGAUACUGAUUGGCUUGAAUUCGGGAGAGGAUAGCGGAAUUCCCGGUGUAGAGGUGAAAUUCGUAGAUAUUGGGAAGAACACCGGUGGCGAAGGCGGUUGUCUGGACCGAUAUUGACGCUGAGGCGCGAAAGCGUGGGGAGCAAUCAGG
Molecule: ribosomal RNA, 253 nt
Filed under: uncultured bacterium
Lineage: Bacteria
Description: partial 16S ribosomal RNA
Rfam family: Bacterial small subunit ribosomal RNA
Source: RNAcentral